This 407-nucleotide ribosomal RNA is filed under the name uncultured bacterium. RNAcentral's name for it is "partial 16S ribosomal RNA". It matches the Rfam family "Bacterial small subunit ribosomal RNA", at positions 30 to 526 of the family's 1533-position model. The record is from RNAcentral.
AUUGAACGCUGGCGGCAGGCCUAACACAUGCAAGUCGAGCGGAGCGCGGGACGGGUGCGUAAUGCCUAUGAAUCUGCCUGGGAGUGAGGGAUAACGUCAGGAACCGGGAGCUAAUACCGCAUCCUCUCAGAUGAGCCUAGGCCGGAUUGGCUAGUUGGUGGGGUAAAGGCCUACCAAGGCGACGAUCCGUAACUGGUCUGAGAGGAUGAUCAGUCACACUGGAACUGAGACACGGUCCAGACUCCUACGGGAGGCAGCAGUGGGGAAUAUUGGACAAUGGGCGAAAGCCUGAUGCAGCCAUGCCGCGGGUGUGAAGAAGGUCUUCGGAUUGUAAAGCACUUUAAGCGGGGAGGCGUUACCAACAGAAGAAGCACCGGCUAACUCCGUGCCAGCAGCCGCGGUAAUUC